GGCAGUUUAGCCGAAAGGUCUAAGGCGCCAAAUUUAGGCUCUGGUCUGAAAAGGCGUGGUUCCAAAUCCCACAGCUGUCA
Gossypium raimondii (Peruvian cotton) is the source of this 80-nucleotide transfer RNA. It matches the Rfam family "tRNA". From Rfam's summary of the family: Transfer RNA (tRNA) molecules are approximately 80 nucleotides in length. Their secondary structure includes four short double-helical elements and three loops (D, anti-codon, and T loops). Further hydrogen bonds mediate the characteristic L-shaped molecular structure. tRNAs have two regions of fundamental functional importance: the anti-codon, which is responsible for specific mRNA codon recognition, and the 3' end, to which the tRNAs corresponding amino acid is attached (by aminoacyl-tRNA synthetases). tRNAs cope with the degeneracy of the genetic code in two manners: having more than one tRNA (with a specific anti-codon) for a particular amino acid; and 'wobble' base-pairing, i.e. permitting non-standard base-pairing at the 3rd anti-codon position. NCBI's taxonomy places the organism in Eukaryota, Viridiplantae, Streptophyta, Magnoliopsida, Malvales, Malvaceae. The record is from Rfam.